Molecule: ribosomal RNA, 253 nt
Filed under: uncultured bacterium
Lineage: Bacteria
Description: partial 16S ribosomal RNA
Rfam family: Bacterial small subunit ribosomal RNA
Source: RNAcentral
UACAGAGGUCCCAAGCGUUGUUCGGAUUCACUGGGCGUAAAGGGUGCGUAGGCGGUAGGGUAAGUUUGAGGUGAAAUCUCCGGGCUCAACCCGGAAAUUGCCUUGAAGACUAUCUUGCUAGAGGAUCGGAGGGGAGACUGGAAUUCUCGGUGUAGCAGUGAAAUGCGUAGAUAUCGAGAGGAACACCAGUGGCGAAGGCGAGUCUCUGGACGAUUCCUGACGCUGAGGCACGAAAGCCAGGGGAGCAAACGGG